This 1150-nucleotide long non-coding RNA is filed under the name Oryctolagus cuniculus (rabbit). RNAcentral describes it as "lncRNA (ENSOCUG00000030831.1)". The record is from RNAcentral. Lineage: Eukaryota; Metazoa; Chordata; Mammalia; Lagomorpha; Leporidae.
UGAGUCCUGGCUGUUCCACUUCCGAUCCAGCUCUCUGCUGUGGUCUGGGAAAGCAGUGGAAGAUGGCCCAAGUCCUUGGGCCCCUGCACUCGCACGGGAGACCUGGAAGAAGCUCCUGGCUCCUGGCUUUGGAUCGGCACAGCUCAGACCAUUGUGGCCAAUUGGGGAGUGAACCAGUGGAUGGAGGACCUCUCUCUCUUUCUCUGCCUCUCCUUCUCUCUCUGUGUAACUAUGACUUUCAAAUAAGUAAAUAAGAUCUUAAAAAAAAAAUCCAUGCACUCUGAUGCAGGAUGUGAGCCUGCAAGGCAGUGGCUUAACCCCCUGUACCACAAAGCCUGUUCAUGUUGAGAGUAUUAAAUGUGACAAUCUAUUCCUCAUUACACAUCAGGGGAUUCACACAGGGGAGAAACCCAGAAAACAUCUUCCCGGAAUCCAAGCAUAACAGGCAACAUGGAAUUCACACAUGAGAAACCUUUGGAAAGCAAGGAAUGUGAAAAACAAAACAAAACAAAGCGAACAACAAAAUAGCUUUUGUCAGAAGUGAGACCUCAACAGGCAUCAGAGGAACCGUGGGAGGCAAAAACCCCAGUGAUGUAACGGAUGGAAAAGGUCCGUUUGCAGAAGUUCCGUCUUCAGCCUGAAUCCAAGGAUUCACAGCUGAGACACGUGUGUGCGGGCAAGCCUUCUACCGCCAAUCAUUCUCGCUGUCCACCAAAGAGCUCACACGGGGGAAAAACCCAACGAAUGUAAUGCAAGUGGAGACACCUUGUACUAGAAAGGCACGCUGCCACCACAGCAACAUGACACAGAGGAAACCCUGGGAGCGUGAUGGAUGUGGAAACAGCCCUUGCUGGAGGUCAUGCCUCAGCAGGUGCCUAGAGGAUUCACACGGGGCAGCCAUGCUGUGCGACACAGCCUAGCCGGGCGUGUCGAUCAGGAUCUGCUUUCUUCUCUCUGGCAAACAAGCUGCAUUUUUGUCCUCGCCUUACUGAUCACAGACCCAAUUGGGAGCAGAAAUAUCAGUCACACGAGCAGAUCUCACUCAUCCGGGGAGGUCCUGGACGAUGCCAGAAUCUGGGCUCCAGAUGGGCAGACGCUGGAACCGCUGGAGAGACGCGAUCCCGGCCCCGCCCCUCGGGCGGGCGGCUGA